AACGCUGGAGGUCUUGGGACAGACAUACUUCUACUACACUACACAUAACACCCUCGCCGUCUCAUUAUCGCUGGUUGAUCGUAAACGCACCGUGGGCCGAUAUGACGAGGGUCGCGGGUGGAGUCGUAGGAGUCUGAUGGAAGUUUGGAAGCUUGGAAGCUUGGUAUGGAUGGCGUGAUCUGCCGAAGCAUGGAUGAAGAACGGAUGGAAGAGCAGAACAGACAUGGAAAUCCUGUUGGUUUCCUUGCAGCUUGGCCUGUGUUUGGUAAUUGAUUGAGCUCGGUUCCUGGUUCCUGGUUUGUGUUGUAUUAGAGUUUCCCGGAGAGAUACGCGACGGUUUUACCAAGUAAGCUUCCUUUUUGUGUAUUGUUAGGGG
Molecule: small RNA, 376 nt
Filed under: Histoplasma capsulatum var. duboisii H88
Lineage: Eukaryota; Fungi; Ascomycota; Eurotiomycetes; Onygenales; Ajellomycetaceae
Description: Histoplasma capsulatum H88 hypothetical RNA
Source: RNAcentral